RNAcentral lists this transfer RNA (74 nucleotides) under Billgrantia gudaonensis. RNAcentral's name for it is "Halomonas gudaonensis tRNA-Gln". It matches the Rfam family "tRNA". Rfam says of the family: Transfer RNA (tRNA) molecules are approximately 80 nucleotides in length. Lineage: Bacteria; Pseudomonadati; Pseudomonadota; Gammaproteobacteria; Oceanospirillales; Halomonadaceae. The record is from RNAcentral.
GGGGCCAUAGCUCAGCUGGGAGAGCGCCUGCCUUGCGCAGGAGGUCAGCGGUUCGAUCCCGCUUGGCUCCACCA